This 529-nucleotide ribosomal RNA is filed under the name uncultured bacterium. Its description in RNAcentral is "partial 16S ribosomal RNA". It matches the Rfam family "Bacterial small subunit ribosomal RNA", at positions 355 to 895 of the family's 1533-position model. The record is from RNAcentral.
UGGGGAAUAUUGCACAAUGGGCGCAAGCCUGAUGCAGCAACGCCGCGUGAGGGAUGACGGCCUUCGGGUUGUAAACCUCUUCUAGCAGGGAAGAAGCGAAAGUGACGGUACCUGCAGAAAAAGCGCCGGCUAACUACGUGCCAGCAGCCGCGGUAAUACGUAGGGCGCAAGCGUUAUCCGGAAUUAUUGGGCGUAAAGAGCUCGUAGGCGGUUUGUCGCGUCUGCUGUGAAAUCCCGAGGCUCAACCUCGGGUCUGCAGUGGGUACGGGCAGACUAGAGUGCGGUAGGGGAGAUUGGAAUUCCUGGUGUAGCGGUGGAAUGCGCAGAUAUCAGGAGGAACACCGAUGGCGAAGGCAGAUCUCUGGGCCGUAACUGACGCUGAGGAGCGAAAGGGUGGGGAGCAAACAGGCUUAGAUACCCUGGUAGUCCAUGCCGUAAACGUUGGGCACUAGGUGUGGGUCCAUUCCACGGAUUCCGUGCCGCAGCAAACGCAUUAAGUGCCCCGCCUGGGGAGUACGGCCGCAAGGCU